GUUCGUUAUUAAGGGCGCAUGGUGGAUGCCUUGGCAUGCUGAGCCGAUGAAGGACGUGAAAGGCUGCGUUAAGCCUCGGGGAGUUGUCAAUUAAGCGUUGAUCCGAGGAUGUCCGAAUGGGGAAACCUGGCCCUGGUUAUGUGGGGUUACCCUUCAGUGAAUUCAUAGCUGUUGUGGGGGUUUACGCGGGGAAGUGAAACAUCUCAGUACCCGUAGGAGGAGAAAAUAAUAAUGAUUCUGCUAGUAGUGGCGAACGAACGUGGAUGAGGCUAAACCGUGUGCAUGUGAUACCUGGUAGGGGUUGUGUGUGCGGUGUUGUGGGCCCCAACGUGCGGUGACUGCCAUCAUCGUGCUUGUGUGUUGUUGUUAGGUGAAGUGGUUUGGAAUUACCUGCCGGAGAAGGUGAGAGUCCUGUAGUUGAAGACAAUGGCAUGCAGGUUGUUGGGUUGCCCGAGUAGCAGCGGGCUCGUGGAAUCUGUUGUGAAUCUGCCGGGACCACCCGGUAAGCCUAAAUACUCAGUGUGACCGAUAGUGUAUUAGUACCGUGAGGGAAUGGUGAAAAGUACCCCGGGAGGGGAGUGAAAUAGUUCCUGAAACCAUGUGCUUACAAUCCGUCAGAGCACCUUUUGUGUGUGAUGGCGUGCCUUUUGAAGAAUGAGCCUGCGAGUCAGCGGCAUGUCGCGAGGUUAACCCGUGUGGGGUAGCCGUAGGGAAACCGAAUCCUAAUGGGGUGUCAAGUGGCAUGUCCUGGACCCGAAGCGGGGUGAUCUACCCAUGGCCAGUGUGAAGCAGCUGUAAGAGGUUGUGGAGGCGCGAACCCACGUAGGUUGAAAACUGCGGGGAUGAGCUGUGGGUAGGGGUGAAAGGCCAAUCAAACUCCGUGAUAGCUGGUUCUCCCCGAAAUGCAUUUAGGUGCAGCGUCGUAUUAUAGCUUGGUGGAGGUAGAGCGACUGGUUGGUUGAGCGGGACUACAAUCUUAGCAAUGUCAGCCAAACUCCGAAUGCCACUAAUUGUGUUGUACGGCAGUGAGACUGUGGGGGAUAAGCUUCAUAGUCGAGAGGGAAACAGCCCAGAUCGCCGGUUAAGGCCCCUAAGGGUGUACUAAGUGGAAAAGGAUGUGGGAUCGCGAAGACAGCCAGGAGGUUGGCUUAGAAGCAGCCAUCCUUGAAAGAGUGCGUAAUAGCUCACUGGUCGAGUGGUUCUGCGCCGACAAUUCAGUGGGGCUCAAGUACACCGCCGAAGCCGCGGCAAACAUUGUGUUUGGGUAGGGGAGCGUCGUGCAUGGGUGGAAGCGUUACCGUAAGGAGGCGUGGACUGUGUGCGAGUGAGAAUGCAGGCAUGAGUAACGAAUUGAUAGGUGAGAAUCCUAUCCGCCGGAUGACUAAGGGUUCCUGGGUCAAGUUCGUCUUCCCAGGGUGAGUCGGGACCUAAGGCGAGGCCGACAGGCGUAGUCGAUGGAUAACCAGUUGAUAUUCUGGUACCCGUACAUGCGCGCCCAUGAUGAAGCACUGAUACUAACCACCGCGGAUGCACUACCGGUCUUCUUUGAAGAUUGGUGGUGUUGAUGUCGUGGGGCCUGAUGUGUGGUUCAAGUGAUGGGGUGACGCAGUGAGGUAGCCACGCCACUUAUUGGAUUGGUGGUGUAAGCGUGUAGGCCGUGUGGUAGGUAAAUCCGCCGCACAUUGUGGUUGAGACGUGAUGCGUAGACCCUAAGCGGGUUGAUGGUGGUGAUCCUGUACUGUCGAGAAAAGCCUCUAGCGAUGUGUGUGUAUGGCCCGUACCCUAAACCGACACAGGUAGUCAGGUUGAAAAUACUAAGGCGUUCGGGUGAACUGUGGUUAAGGAAUUCGGCAAAAUGCCCCCGUAACUUCGGGAGAAGGGGGGCCUCACGGCGUGAAGGUCCAUGCGGCUGGAAGCGUUGUGGGGUCGCAGAGAAUAGAGGGAAGCGACUGUUUAUCAAAAACACAGGUCCAUGCGAAGACGUGAAGUUGAUGUAUAUGGACUGACGCCUGCCCGGUGCUGGAAGGUUAAGAGGACCGGUUAGUAGUCUUUGACUGCGAAGCUGAGAAUUUAAGCCCCAGUAAACGGCGGUGGUAACUAUAACCAUCCUAAGGUAGCGAAAUUCCUUGUCGGGUAAGUUCCGACCUGCACGAAUGGCGUA
RNAcentral lists this ribosomal RNA (2161 nucleotides) under human gut metagenome. RNAcentral describes it as "bacterial LSU rRNA". It matches the Rfam family "Bacterial large subunit ribosomal RNA", at positions 1 to 2003 of the family's 2925-position model. The record is from RNAcentral.